CUCCGGUUGAUCCUGCCGGACCUGACUGCUAUCGGAUUGGUACUAAGCCAUGCGAGUCGUUGUAGCAAUACAAGGCGGACGGCUCAGUAACACGUAGUCAACCUAACCUAUGGACGUGGAUAACCUCGGGAAACUGAGAAUAAACCGCGAUAGAUCAUUAUGCCUGGAAUGGCUUAUGGUUCAAACAAUUUAUUGCCGUAGGAUGGGACUGCGGCCUAUCAGCUUGUUGGUGAGGUAAUGGCCCACCAAGGCUAUAACAGGUACGGGCUCUGAGAGGAGAAGCCCGGAGAUGGGUACUGAGACACGGACCCAGGCCCUAUGGGGCGCAGCAGGCGAGAAACCUUAGCAAUGUGCGAAAGCACGACUAGGUUAAUCCGAGUGAUUUCUGUUGAAGAAAUCUUUUGUCAGUCGUAAAACCACAGACGAAUAAGGGGUGGGCAAGUCUGGUGUCAGCCGCCGCGGUAAUACCAGCACCUCGAGUGGUCAGGAGGUUUAUUGGGCCUAAAGCAUCCGUAGCCGGCUACGCAAGUCUCCGGUUAAAUCCAGCUGCUCAACAGAUGGGCUGCCGGAGAUACUACAUAGCUAGGGAGCGGGAGAGGUAGACGGUAUUCUGUGGGUAGGGGUAAAAUCCACUGAUCCAUAGAGGACCACCAGUGGCGAAGGCGGUCUACCAGAACGCGUUCGACGGUGAGGGAUGAAAGCUGGGGGAGCAAACCGGAUUAGAUACCCGGGUAGUCCCAGCUGUAAACGAUGCAAACUCGGUGAUGCAUUGGCUUAUGGCCAAUGCAGUGCCGCAGGGAAGCCGUUAAGUUUGCCGCCUGGGAAGUACGGACGCAAGUCUGAAACUUAAAGGGAAUUGGCGGGGGAGCA
This 870-nucleotide ribosomal RNA is filed under the name uncultured archaeon. RNAcentral's name for it is "bacterial SSU rRNA". It matches the Rfam family "Archaeal small subunit ribosomal RNA", at positions 1 to 878 of the family's 1478-position model. The record is from RNAcentral.